Molecule: ribosomal RNA, 497 nt
Filed under: uncultured bacterium
Lineage: Bacteria
Description: partial 16S ribosomal RNA
Rfam family: Bacterial small subunit ribosomal RNA
Source: RNAcentral
GAUGAACGCUGGCGGCGUGCCUAAUACAUGCAAGUCGAGCGAACGGACGAGAAGCUUGCUUCUCUGAUGUUAGCGGCGGACGGGUGAGUAACACGUGGAUAACCUACCUAUAAGACUGGGAUAACUUCGGGAAACCGGAGCUAAUACCGGAUAAUAUUUUGAACCGCAUGGUUCAAAAGUGAAAGACGGUCUUGCUGUCACUUAUAGAUGGAUCCGCGCUGCAUUAGCUAGUUGGUAAGGUAACGGCUUACCAAGGCAACGAUGCAUAGCCGACCUGAGAGGGUGAUCGGCCACACUGGAACUGAGGCACGGUCCCGACUCCUACGGGAGGCAGCAGUAGGGAAUCUUCCGCAAUGGGCGAAAGCCUGACGGAGCAACGCCGCGUGAGUGAUGAAGGUCUUCGGAUCGUAAAACUCUGUUAUUAGGGAAGAACAUAUGUGUAAGUAACUGUGCACAUCUUGACGGUACCUAAUCAGAAAGCCACGGCUAACUACGUG